RNAcentral lists this ribosomal RNA (358 nucleotides) under uncultured actinobacterium WB040. RNAcentral describes it as "bacterial SSU rRNA". It matches the Rfam family "Bacterial small subunit ribosomal RNA", at positions 121 to 497 of the family's 1533-position model. The record is from RNAcentral. Lineage: Bacteria; Bacillati; Actinomycetota; Actinomycetes.
GCAACCUGCCCCGAAGACUGGGAUAACACCGGGAAACCGGUGCUAAUACCGGAUACCCCCAUUGGUUCGCAUGGACCGAUGAGGAAAGGUUUUCUGCUUCGGGAGGGGCUCGCGGCCUAUCAGCUUGUUGGUGAGGUAACGGCUCACCAAGGCAACGACGGGUAGCUGGUCUGAGAGGACGAUCAGCCACACUGGGACUGAGACACGGCCCAGACUCCUACGGGAGGCAGCAGUAGGGAAUCUUGCGCAAUGGGCGAAAGCCUGACGCAGCAACGCCGCGUGGGGGAUGAAGGCCUUCGGGUUGCAAACUCCUUUCAGUGGGAACGAAAUUGACGGUACCCACAGAAGAAGCCCCGGC